Molecule: ribosomal RNA, 477 nt
Filed under: Mileewa branchiuma
Lineage: Eukaryota; Metazoa; Arthropoda; Insecta; Hemiptera; Cicadellidae
Description: partial large subunit ribosomal RNA
Rfam family: Bacterial large subunit ribosomal RNA (bases 364-477)
Source: RNAcentral
GUAAUUUCUGCCCAAUGAAUAUUUAAAUGGCCGCAGUAUUUUGACUGUGCAAAGGUAGCAUAAUAAUUAGUCUUUUAAUUGAGGACUGGAAUGAAAGGAUAUAUGAGAAAUAUAUUUUAUUAUUUUAAUUUUUAAAAUUUUAUUUUUGAGUAAAAAAGCUUAAUAUUAUUUUAGGGACGAAAAGACCCUAUAGAACUUUAUUAUUCAAUAAUUAAUUUAAUUUUAGUAGAUUAAUUAAUUUUAGUUUAUAUGAAUUUUUUAGUUGGGGGGACUAAUAAACUGUGAACUUUAUUUUUAUUAUUCAUUAAUUUAUGAUUAAGUUGAUCCUUAAUAAAUAUGAUUAAAAGAUUAAGUUACCUUAGGGAUAACAGCGUAAUUUUAAUGGAGAGAUCAUAUCUAUAUUUAAGUUUGCGACCUCGAUGUUGAAUUAAGAAAAGUUUAGGGGGUAGUUUCUCUAUAUACUAAGUCUGUUCGACU